CACAAAGACCUUUUUUAAAGGACAAAUACAUUGUCAGUGGAUUCCUUUUCUACAUCUAUUUUAAGAAACCAAUAUGGGCACCAACUCUGAUGGAAACUAUAGAAAAAAACUCCAAAUAUAAGACCACCGUUAGAUGAGGAAAUGAAACCAGAAAGAGGAAAAGUGCUUACACCCAAGAGUGGAAUCCACUUGUGACAAAAGCACUCCAGUCCUAGAGUAAAGCUGUCUUUACUUUGCAUCCUCCCACAGAGAUGGACUGAGGAUUUCUCCUCAGAGAAAGUUUCCCUGAUUGUCUCCUUUUUGGCAAAUCUAGUGCUUUUUUAAAGGCUCUGUGUCUUGGGUGAGGCGGAUGCUAGAGCCUGAGGAGGAAGAAAACAGGCGGGACCUUAAGAGUAAGG
Molecule: long non-coding RNA, 398 nt
Filed under: Equus asinus (donkey)
Lineage: Eukaryota; Metazoa; Chordata; Mammalia; Perissodactyla; Equidae
Description: lncRNA (ENSEASG00005025820.1)
Source: RNAcentral